AAGCGUGUAGGCUGGUUUUCCAGGCAAAUCCGGAAAAUCAAGGCUGAGGCGUGAUGACGAGGCACUACGGUGCUGAAGCAACAAAUGCCCUGCUUCCAGGAAAAGCCUCUAAGCAUCAGGUAACAUCAAAUCGUACCCCAAACCGACACAGGUGGUCAGGUAGAGAAUACCAAGGCGCUUGAGAGAACUCGGGUGAAGGAACUAGGCAAAAUGGUGCCGUAACUUCGGGAGAAGGCACGCUGAUAUGUAGGUGAAGUCCCUCGCGGAUGGAGCUGAAAUCAGUCGAAGAUACCAGCUGGCUGCAACUGUUUAUUAAAAACACAGCACUGUGCAAACACGAAAGUGGACGUAUACGGUGUGACGCCUGCCCGGUGCCGGAAGGUUAAUUGAUGGGGUUAGCG
This 401-nucleotide ribosomal RNA is filed under the name Escherichia coli. RNAcentral's name for it is "partial 23S ribosomal RNA". It matches the Rfam family "Bacterial large subunit ribosomal RNA", at positions 1514 to 1895 of the family's 2925-position model. Lineage: Bacteria; Pseudomonadati; Pseudomonadota; Gammaproteobacteria; Enterobacterales; Enterobacteriaceae. The record is from RNAcentral.